AAAAAAUAAAAAACACUUCUGCAAUGUUCUUCUCACAUGAAGAAUCAUCUGGAGGCCCACUGAGGAAAACGUCAGAAUCAGAUUCUUAAACAAAUCAACCUAUAAAAUCAUCGGAAUUUAAUCAACAAGAUCGAAUGGCAUCGGCGAAGCCAUCACCAGUGGCUUUACGAUUACGCACCCACCUUGGAACCACCACUAGAUUCCCCAUAUCUCGCGCGAACCUUCGACAAAAAUGGAUCAAUUCCCACAUACCCAACAAUGCUGGUCUUCGUGCUAGACUCGCCAUUCUCGCUUAUCAUCGCUCUUAUUCUCUUUGUUCUUCUAUUUCGGUUUGCUCUACUUCUCUUCUUUCUUCUUUUUCUCUUUGCACUUUGUUCCGACCUCGUUUUCCUCAUCUUCGAUCUCCUUUGUCCAUGACCACUCAAGCCAAUUCUGACCCACCUCAGUCUUCCUCCUCCACAAAAACGGUGAGGGCCGUGAUCAAGGGGAGGGUGCAAGGAGUAUUCUAUAGGAACUGGACAGUGGACAAUGCAACCCAAUUGGGGUUGAAAGGCUGGGUUAGGAAUAGGAGGGAUGGUUCUGUCGAGGCACUAUUCUCUGGGGAUGCUGAUAAGGUGCAGGAGAUGGAGCAGAGGUGCCGCCGUGGUCCACCUGAUGCUGUGGUUACUGGCUUCCAGGUGUUUCCUUGCGAUGAUGAACCUGGAAGUGGGUUCCAGCGUAAACCAACGGUUUGAUCAAUCAUGUGAAUAUGCUUAAUGGAUUCCUAUUUUACUCUUCUUGCUAAGUGGGUUGAAGGCGAGAUGACAAAUGCUAGGUAUGGGGCAUAGCAAAUGAAGAGCUGUUUAUCUACUUCCAGUUUCAGCGUAUUCAGCUUCUAGAUAUAGAGCUUGAAAGAAGAAGCAUAUGGUGUGACCUUGACGUAUUUUAGCUCAUCAGCAAGUACUUAUUUCCUGACUAAUUUUCUAAAGAGACAUUCUUUAGCUUCUCUUUCUUCAGUUUUCACCUUUAAGCCUUCUAAUGGAAGCUAGCUUACUGCAAUGUGCUAUUGCUAGCUGUUCUUGUGUUAUUCCAUGUUUCUCCUCCUCCUACUAUGGUUGGUGAACUGGUGGUUUUCGUAGUUUCGCAGUUUGGCUACCUAUUUUUGAUGAUCAUGAAUGUCCUAAACUUAUCAUACUAGUAGAAGGGAGUUUUGUGAAGAUCUGCUGGAAUUUAUAAGCAUAUAAAUUUCUGCAUUUUCAUUGACAUGAAGAAACAACAGGAACAACUGAUUUUAUUUUUGAUUCAGUGAUAAUGGAAUCAUGAAGAUUAACAAGUAUCAAGCUUUAGUAACUCAAAAUCAUUGAAUCAAAGCUUAUUAGU
RNA transcript from Manihot esculenta (cassava), 1359 nucleotides. RefSeq lists it as uncharacterized. The record is from RefSeq and is a predicted model, not a curated record. The transcript is spliced from 4 exons. Lineage: Eukaryota; Viridiplantae; Streptophyta; Magnoliopsida; Malpighiales; Euphorbiaceae.